GAUGAACGCUAGCGGCAGGCCUAACACAUGCAAGUCGAGGGAGGAGCCUUCGGGCUUCGACCGUCGUCCGGUUGCGUACCGCGUAUACAAUCUUCCUUUCACAUCGGGUUAGCCCGAAGUAAUUUGGAUUAAUACCUACUGGUAUAUAGAUGUGGCAUCACCUUUAUAUUAAAGCUGAGGCGGUGACAGAUGAGUAUGCGUUCUAUUAGCUAGUUGGAGAGGUAACGGCUCCCCAAGGCGACGAUAGCUAGGGGUUCUGAGAGGGAUAUCCCCCACAGUGGUACUGAGAUACGGAGCAGAGUCAUACGGGAGGCAGCAGUGAGGAAUACUGGAGUAUGGUAGGAAGACUGAUCCAGCGAUGCCGGGUGCAGGAAGACGGCGUGAUGGGUUGUAAACUGCUGUUGGAGGGGAAGAAUAAGGACUACGCGUAGUUGGAUGACGGUACUCGGCGAAGAAGCAUCGGCUAACUCCGUG
RNAcentral lists this ribosomal RNA (474 nucleotides) under uncultured bacterium. RNAcentral describes it as "partial 16S ribosomal RNA". It matches the Rfam family "Bacterial small subunit ribosomal RNA", at positions 28 to 507 of the family's 1533-position model. The record is from RNAcentral.